AAGCGGAGGAAAAGAAACUAA
This 21-nucleotide non-coding RNA is filed under the name Arabidopsis thaliana (thale cress). The record is from RNAcentral. RNAcentral also lists the same sequence under 1 other name. Lineage: Eukaryota; Viridiplantae; Streptophyta; Magnoliopsida; Brassicales; Brassicaceae.